CCCAAAACACCCUCUCUCUCUCUCUAGAAGCUCUCCCUCUCUCUAAAAGUGGAAUCAAGAGGAGGAUUGGUGGAGAUUUGGAGCUUGAAGGAGAAUCACCAUUGUUGUCUUCUUCCUUAGCUUGGAGAAGGAGCUUAGUAGAGGCCUACGAACGCGUUCGUGCACUCGGUUUGAGUAUUCGUCGAGCCUACGCGAAGAUAUUGAGGAAAUGGACUGUUAGAGCUUCGUUUCCGCCUGGAGGGCCGAUGAGGCAUCCAAAAAUUUUGAGAUAAAGAUCGUAGCAUCGUGGCAUCAAGUUAUAGACCUUUAAUUUUCGGAUUGCGGAUUGGUGGUCGUUCGGUGGUCGAGCGUGAGAUUGAGCCGAACCGGGCAGCGUGUGCCGCGGGAGGCCGAUUGCAAGUGACUACGAACAAUCGGAACGUUAAAAGGACCUAGCGAGAGCGUACCGACAGAGGACCGUGGUAAGGGCAUAGCGCCUUAGUAGCUAAUAGCUUCCUUAUGCAUUAGAGUAUCCUCCUGUACGUAGAGAUAUGAUGUAUUUGAGAGUUACUUAUAUAUUUGGAGAGCCAUUUUGUAUUAUGAGAAGAAUAUGUAUUCAUUUUGGAAGAUAAAAAUGUAAAUUAAUAAGUAAAGGUUAAA
Molecule: long non-coding RNA, 639 nt
Organism: Ananas comosus (pineapple)
Lineage: Eukaryota; Viridiplantae; Streptophyta; Magnoliopsida; Poales; Bromeliaceae
Exons: 3
Source: RefSeq, a predicted model, not a curated record